Ipomoea triloba (trilobed morning glory) is the source of this 1605-nucleotide RNA transcript. It is a transcript of the gene named splicing factor U2af small subunit B-like, with no coding region annotated. NCBI's taxonomy places the organism in Eukaryota, Viridiplantae, Streptophyta, Magnoliopsida, Solanales, Convolvulaceae. The transcript has 3 exons. The record is from RefSeq and is a predicted model, not a curated record.
CCGGACUGGAUCCAGUUCAUCUCACCCGGACUGCAAUUAAAGCUCGUUCUAUCGUUCACACUUGCCCAUUUCAUAUCAAAUUAGGGUUUCGAUCUAAAAUAAAAUCUUCCAUUUCUUCUCAUAAAUCUCAGAAUGAGCUCAAAAUAAAAUCUUUCCAGUUCUGCGAUUUGGUUAAGACUCAAAAACCCUACCAUACGGAUUUAGGCCAGACAUGGCGGAGCAUUUGGCUUCGAUUUUCGGAACCGAGAAGGAUCGCGUGAACUGUCCCUUCUACUUCAAGAUCGGCGCCUGCCGUCACGGCGACCGGUGCUCUCGUCUCCACAACCGACCCACCAUUUCCCCAACUCUACUUCUCUCCAACAUGUACCAUCGGCCUGACAUGAUCACGCCUGGCGUUGACGCCCAGGGCCAACCUAUCGAUCCCCGUAAGAUCCAGGAGCACUUUGAGGAUUUCUACGAGGACAUCUUCGAAGAGCUGAGCAAGUUCGGUGAGAUCGAGAGCCUGAACGUUUGUGACAACCUCGCCGACCACAUGAUUGGCAACGUUUAUGUUCAGUUCAAGGAGGAAGACCAUGCCGCAGCUGCCUUGCAGGCGCUGCAGGGCCGAUUUUACUCUGGCCGUCCGAUCAUAGCUGAUUUCUCGCCAGUGACAGAUUUCCGCGAGGCGACAUGCCGCCAAUAUGAGGAGAAUAGCUGCAACCGAGGGGGAUACUGUAACUUCAUGCAUGUAAAGAUGAUCGGCAGGGAGCUGAGGAGGAAGCUCUUUGGGAGGUACCGCAGGUUUAGAAAAAGUAGGAGCCGUAGCAGGAGCGCGAGCCCGCAUAACCGGAGGGACCGUGAUAGGCGUGAAUAUCGUGAUUAUCGAGAGCGAGAGCGUGACGAUUAUCGAGCUGGGAGAAGGCAUGGGAGGCAUGAGAGUGAUAGUGGGAGGAGGAGGCACGAGAGUCCAAAGUUAAGCCGGAGUCCAAUAAGGGAAGGGAGCGAGGAACGCAGGGCUAGGAUUGAGCAAUGGAACCGAGAGAGGGAGGAGAGGCAGUCCUGAGAUAUGAGAGCAUCAAUAUUAUCAAGUCACCUGCUGGGGAAUGCAUGCUGGUGAGUAGGCCAAGUAAAUAGAUGCCAACAUAGAGGAAUCAUUUUUGCACUGCUACAUCCAACAGGAUCAGGACUUAGGAGGUUGUAAUUGGUGAUGAGUGAUAGAAGGAAGGAAGGAAGGCAGGUGUGGUAAUUCAGAGCAGAAUGAAGAUGUAGUUCUCUGCGUUGACUGAAAAUUCAAGCGGAGAAAGUGUGCAAAGAUUGUAUGUUGAUGUAAACCAAAGAUUGUAUAUUGUAAGAUUGAAAUAGCUUUUCUACUUGUGAUUGCUUCAUCUAACUACUUGUUUCAGAGGUCUUUACCAUUCCUACUACAGAUGCCAUUCCUUGAUGACUGAAGUUUCUGGUUAUUGUUCAUAUUUUACUGAUUCAGUGAUUCUAUGAGUAGGCUGGUUGAGUGGUUGCUGCUCCAACAAGGAAAGUAGUGUGUGAUUUUGUUGGUUUACAAUAUUGAACUAAUCAAGUCGAAGUGUUGAGGCUUGGUAAUAUUUCCAUAGAAACUGAGAUUGCUUUUAA